Molecule: ribosomal RNA, 1173 nt
Filed under: Saccharomyces cerevisiae (brewer's yeast)
Lineage: Eukaryota; Fungi; Ascomycota; Saccharomycetes; Saccharomycetales; Saccharomycetaceae
Source: RNAcentral
AUGAAAUUAAAAUUAUUAAAUAUAAUUUUAUCAAUAAUAAAUAAACUUAAUAAUAAUAAUAAUAUUAUUAUUAAUAAUCUAUUAGAUUCAUUAAUAAAUAAGAAAUUAUUAUUAAAGAAUAUAUUAUUAGAUAUAAAUAAUAAAAAAAUAAAUAAUAUAAAAAGAAUAUUAAAUAAUAAUAAUAUAAAUAUUAAUAAUAAAUUACAACAUUUAAAUAAUAUAAAUAAUUGAAAUCUACAAAUUUAUAAUUAUAAUAAAAAUAUAGAAAUUAUAAAUAUUAUAAAUGAUAAAUUAAUUAAUAAAUUAUUAUAUAAAAUAAUAACUUUAAAAUUAAAUAAUAUAAAUGUUAAUAAAAUUAUUAUAAGUAAACUUAUUAAUCAACAUAGUUUAAAUAAAUUAAAUAUUAAAUUUUAUUAUUAUAAUAAUGAUAUUAAUAAUAAUAAUAAUAAUAAUAAUAAUAAUAAUAAUUAUUAUAUAAAUAUAAUAAAUAAAUUAAUAAAUAUUAUAAAUAAUAAUAUAAAUAAUAAUUUAUGUAAUAUUUUAAGUUAUUAUUAUAAUAAAAAAGUAACUAUUGAACCUAUUAAAUUAUCAUAUAUUUAUUUAAAUAGUGAUAUUUUUAGUAAAUAUAUUAGUUUAAAUGAUAUAGAUAAAUAUAAUAAUGGUAUCUUAACUAAUUAUCAACGUAUAUUAAAUAAUAUUAUGCCUAAAUUAAAUGAUCAUAAUAUUUCUAUAAAUUAUAUUAAUAAUAUUAAUAAUAUUAAUAAUAAUAAAUAUAAUAAUAUAAUUAAUUUAUUAAAUAAUAAUAAUAAUAAUAAUAUUAAUAAUAAUAAUAAUUAUAAUAAUUAUAAUAAUAAUAAUAAUAAUAAUUAUAUUGGUAAUAUUAAUAAUAUUUAUAAUAAUAUAACUAUUGAUAAUAUUCCUAUAGAUAUUUUAAUAUAUAAAUAUUUAGUUGGUUGAUCUAUUAAAUUUAAAGGUAGAUUAAAUAAUAAUAAUGGUAGAACUAGUACACUUAAUUUAUUAAAUGGUACUUUUAAUAAUAAAAAAUAUUUAUGAAGUAAUAUUAAUAAUAAUUAUAAAUUAAAUUAUAUCCCUUCUAAUCAUAAUUUAUAUAAUAAUUCUAAUAUUAAUAAAAAUGGUAAAUAUAAUAUUAAAGUUAAAUUAAACUUUAUUUAA